GAUCAUGGCUCAGAGUGAACGCUGGCGGCGUGCCUAAUACAUGCAAGUCGAACGGACAAGUAAGAGCUUGCUCUUAUGAGUUAGUGGCGCACGGGUGAGUAAUGUAUAGCUAAUCUGCCCUACACUAGAGGACAACAGUUGGAAACGACUGCUAAUACUCUAUACUCCUCUCUAACAUAAGUUAGAUAGGGAAAGUUUUUCGGUGUAGGAUGAGGCUAUAUUGUAUCAG
Molecule: ribosomal RNA, 229 nt
Filed under: uncultured bacterium
Lineage: Bacteria
Description: partial 16S ribosomal RNA
Rfam family: Bacterial small subunit ribosomal RNA
Source: RNAcentral